This 227-nucleotide ribosomal RNA is filed under the name uncultured bacterium. Its description in RNAcentral is "partial 16S ribosomal RNA". It matches the Rfam family "Bacterial small subunit ribosomal RNA", at positions 15 to 225 of the family's 1533-position model. The record is from RNAcentral.
GAUCAUGGCUCAGGACGAACGCUGGCGGCGUGCUUAACACAUGCAAGUCGAACGAGAAUCUGUGGAACGAGGAUUCGUCCAAGUGAAGCAGAGGACAGUGGCGGACGGGUGAGUAACGCGUGAGGAACCUGCCUUUCAGAGGGGGACAACAGUUGGAAACGACUGCUAAUACCGCAUGACACAUAGAUGUCGCAUGGCAUUUAUGUCAAAGAUUUAUCGCUGAAAAG